UACGGAGGGUGCAAGCGUUAUCCGGAUUCACUGGGUUUAAAGGGGGCGUAGGUGGGUUGGUAAGUCAGUGGUGAAAUCUCCAGGCUUAACUUGGAAACUGCCAUUGAUACUAUCAAUCUUGAAUACCGUGGAGGUCAGCGGAAUAUGUCAUGUAGCGGUGAAAUGCUUAGAUAUGACAUAGAACACCAAUUGCGAAGGCAGCUGGCUACACGAAUAUUGACACUGAUGCACGAAAGCGUGGGGAUCAAACAGG
RNAcentral lists this ribosomal RNA (253 nucleotides) under uncultured bacterium. RNAcentral's name for it is "partial 16S ribosomal RNA". It matches the Rfam family "Bacterial small subunit ribosomal RNA", at positions 524 to 776 of the family's 1533-position model. The record is from RNAcentral.